GAUCCUGGCUCAGGAUGAACGCUAGCGGCAGGCUUAACACAUGCAAGUCGGAGGGGCAGCGGGGAGUAGCAAUACUCCGCCGGCGACCGGCGCACGGGUGCGUAACGCGUAUGCAACCUACCUUUAACAGGGGCAUAACACUGAGAAAUUGGUACUAAUUCCCCAUAACAUUCGAGAAGGCAUCUUCUUGGGUUAAAAACUCCGCUGGUUAAAGAUGGGCAUGCGUUGUAUUAGCUAGUUGGUGAGGUAACGG
Molecule: ribosomal RNA, 253 nt
Filed under: uncultured bacterium
Lineage: Bacteria
Description: partial 16S ribosomal RNA
Rfam family: Bacterial small subunit ribosomal RNA
Source: RNAcentral